UCAAGCAGGCAGAACGUACGGAAGUUCGUGAAGUGUACUGUAGAAGUUAUUUAGCCUGACCGGUGUGGAACAGAUCUAGUGACAACAAGUUAAAGUCACGGUGUGCGAGGUGCAAAUCUUGUAGAUUUUGUUUGCCUAGAGCAAGUCGCAGAUGGCCUUCACUUUCUGCACGCUGCUCGGUAGAGCCAAAAUGGAGUAGAGGAGGAUAAUACUAUGAGAUCGGCCUUUCUAUCAUGACCAACUUGUGCGCCAGGCCGGGAAGGUGUCCUAGCACGAUCAUGGAUCGGUGUGCUAGCGUUGGAGUAACUGGCACGUCGCCGGUGAAUCUGCUUCUGUCCGGGCAAGCAUGCUGUCCACCAAUC
This is a long non-coding RNA of Aedes aegypti (yellow fever mosquito), 362 nucleotides long. RefSeq lists it as uncharacterized. The record is from RefSeq and is a predicted model, not a curated record. NCBI's taxonomy places the organism in Eukaryota, Metazoa, Arthropoda, Insecta, Diptera, Culicidae. The transcript is spliced from 3 exons.